Bradysia coprophila is the source of this 170-nucleotide long non-coding RNA. NCBI's taxonomy places the organism in Eukaryota, Metazoa, Arthropoda, Insecta, Diptera, Sciaridae. The record is from RefSeq and is a predicted model, not a curated record.
GAAACUGUAGCACAAGCUGAGAUCUUGAGAGAUAAUUUUUAAUGGAAUUAGUUUGUCAUCGUAAUGACACUCAGAUAUAACUGAACUAGAACAGUCGAGCUUUUCAAUAUCAGAAAAGCCAACAUUUCGGAAUAUCGUUCCAAUGUUCAGUCAAGUCAUUCAACUUGAUA